This 73-nucleotide transfer RNA is filed under the name Neotoma lepida (desert woodrat). It matches the Rfam family "tRNA". Rfam says of the family: Transfer RNA (tRNA) molecules are approximately 80 nucleotides in length. Their secondary structure includes four short double-helical elements and three loops (D, anti-codon, and T loops). The record is from Rfam by way of RNAcentral. Lineage: Eukaryota; Metazoa; Chordata; Mammalia; Rodentia; Cricetidae.
UGGGAUGUGGCUCAGNUGGUAGAGUGCUUGCUUAGCAUGCNUGAAGCCCUGGGUUCAAUUCCCAGCACUGCAU